UACGUAGGUGGCAAGCGUUGUCCGGAUUUACUGGGCGUAAAGAGCGCGCAGGCGGCUGGGCAAGUCCGAUGUGAAAGCUCCCGGCUUAACUGGGAAAUUGCAUCGGAAACUGCUCGGCUUGAAGGUGGGAGAGGGUAGCGGAAUUCCCGGUGUAGUGGUGAUAUGCGUAGAUAUCGGGAGGAACACCAGUGGCGAAGGCGGCUUUCUGGGCAUUUCCUGACGCUGAGACGCGAAAGCGUGGGGAGCGAACCGG
Molecule: ribosomal RNA, 253 nt
Filed under: uncultured bacterium
Lineage: Bacteria
Description: partial 16S ribosomal RNA
Rfam family: Bacterial small subunit ribosomal RNA
Source: RNAcentral